This 423-nucleotide long non-coding RNA is filed under the name Gigantopelta aegis. Its description in RNAcentral is "uncharacterized LOC121380474". The record is from RNAcentral. Lineage: Eukaryota; Metazoa; Mollusca; Gastropoda; Neomphalida; Peltospiridae.
GCUACGUACUGCCUCCUCUUAUGAAAGAUAAAGCCACUGACCAGUUCUGGUGCAUUAGUUGGAACGACAAAGAAAUCAAUUGGUUGAAUGGAUCCAUCGAGGUUGUUCGAUCCUGCGACGCGAACACCCAAACGACUGAGCUGAAACCCACUCCCUAAGAAAUAUGCGGAAAUGACUCAAAUGUGAAACUGUGGUGUAAUAUCUCAUUAAAAAGCAAAAAGAAAAAUAAAGAAGAAAAAGGCGGUAGGAUACUAGUAAAUUAAGUAAUAAAAAUAGUUCAAAUUUUGUUUUGGGUUGGUUGUAAGUAUUCUGUUUGCUUAAUAACUAAUUUCAUAUGAACGAUCGUUUUAUCCAAGCAAAUGUAAAUCACAUAUAUGUAUGGUAGUUAAUAAUUAUUGACAAUGAAUUAACCUACGUAGAACA